RNAcentral lists this small RNA (489 nucleotides) under Histoplasma capsulatum var. duboisii H88. RNAcentral's name for it is "Histoplasma capsulatum H88 hypothetical RNA". The record is from RNAcentral. Lineage: Eukaryota; Fungi; Ascomycota; Eurotiomycetes; Onygenales; Ajellomycetaceae.
ACUCACACCCAUCUCUCUCUCUCUUCUCCCUCUCUCCACUCUCUCCACUCUCUCUCACACAACCGGCCGUGUUGGCACGUGGCGGCCAACCGGGGCUAGCAGACAAGCCAUGCCUACCAAGCACCCCAGCAGCAGCCUAGCAGCAGCCUAGCAGGAGCCUAGCAGGGACCCUAAUUGUUCUGCCGCCCGCGGGGCUCUCUGGGCUGCAGCGCCACGAUGAUGAUGAUGGCGAUGAUGGCGGUUGAUGGUAAUGCAAGCUAUUGUAUAUUACUAGUUUUCAUCUAUUGACGCUCAGUUGGUAAUUCCGCACCAAGGAAGGACUACGGAGCUACAUGUAUCUCCUCGUACUAGCCUUAGUUCCUCGUUUACUAGUAACAGCGAGUUUGUUUGUUUGUUUACAGGAACCGCCGUCUGAACCGUUCGUUCCCUCGCCAUGAAACCUUGUCCCGAGAUAUGCUUGGGUGCGCAACCAUAGCUCGGCCUGAGCGU